AGCGAACGCUGGCGGCGUGUUUUAGGCAUGCAAGUCGAUCGGCAGCGAGCCUGUAGCAAUACAGGUGUCGGCGAGAGGCAGACGGGUGAGUAACGCGUAGGAAUCUACCUUGAGGACUGAGAUAGCCCGGCGAAAGCCGGGGUAAUAUCAGAUGAUAUCGAAAGAUCAAAGUCGCCGCAAGGCGACACCUUAGGAUGAGCCUGCGUCCCAUCAGGUAGUUGGCGGGGUAAAGGCCCACCAAGCCGAAGACGGGUAGCUGGUCUGAGAGGAUGGUCAGCCACAAGGGAACUGCGACACGGUCCCUACUCCUACGGGAGGCAGCAGCCAAGAAUCUUCCGCAAUGGGGGAAACCCUGACGGAGCGACGCCGCGUGAGGGAUGAAGGUCUUCGGAUUGUAAACCUCUUUUGUCAGGGAAGAAUAAGUCUGUCAGGCAAUGGGCAGAUGAUGACGGUACCUGAUGAAUAAGCCCCGGCUAAUUACGUGCCAGCAGCCGCGGUAAUACGUAAGGGGCGAGCGUUGCUCGGAAUUACUGGGCGUAAAGGGCGUGUAGGCGGCCUUAUAAGUCGAAUGUAAAAAACCAGGGCUUAACCCUGGGGCUGCGUUCGAAACUGUGAGGCUUGAGUCUGGUGGAGGGUAAUGGAAUUCCCGGUGUAGCGGUGAAAUGCGUAGAUAUCGGGAAGAACACCGAAGGCGAAAGCAGUUAUCUAUGCCGAGACUGACGCUGAGGCGCGAAAGCAUGGGGAUCAAACAGGAUUAGAUACCCUGGUAGUCCAUGCCGUAAACGAUGUAUACUAGGAGUUGGUGGUAUCCAUUAGCUCCGUAGCAAACGCAUUAAGUAUACCGCCUGGGGAGUACGGCCGCAAGGUUG
Molecule: ribosomal RNA, 869 nt
Filed under: uncultured bacterium
Lineage: Bacteria
Description: bacterial SSU rRNA
Rfam family: Bacterial small subunit ribosomal RNA
Source: RNAcentral